RNAcentral lists this ribosomal RNA (452 nucleotides) under uncultured bacterium. RNAcentral describes it as "bacterial SSU rRNA". It matches the Rfam family "Bacterial small subunit ribosomal RNA", at positions 64 to 507 of the family's 1533-position model. The record is from RNAcentral.
GAACGGUAGCACAGAGAGCUUGCUCUUGGGUGACGAGUGGCGGACGGGUGAGUAAUGUCUGGGAAACUGCCCGAUGGAGGGGGAUAACUACUGGAAACGGUAGCUAAUACCGCAUAACGUCUUCGGACCAAAGUGGGGGACCUUCGGGCCUCACACCAUCGGAUGUGCCCAGAUGGGAUUAGCCAGUAGGUGGGGUAACGGCUCACCUAGGCGACGAUCCCUAGCUGGUCUGAGAGGAUGACCAGCCACACUGGAACUGAGACACGGUCCAGACUCCUACGGGAGGCAGCAGUGGGGAAUAUUGCACAAUGGGCGCAAGCCUGAUGCAGCCAUGCCGCGUGUAUGAAGAAGGCCUUCGGGUUGUAAAGUACUUUCAGUGGGGAGGAAGGCGAUGGAGUUAAUAGCUUCGUCGAUUGACGUUACCCGCAGAAGAAGCACCGGCUAACUCCGUG